This 374-nucleotide ribosomal RNA is filed under the name uncultured organism. RNAcentral describes it as "bacterial SSU rRNA". It matches the Rfam family "Bacterial small subunit ribosomal RNA", at positions 45 to 433 of the family's 1533-position model. The record is from RNAcentral.
GGCUUAACACAUGCAAGUCGAACGAAGGCCCGGCUUCGGCCGGUGUCCUUAGUGGCGGACGGGUGAGUAACGCGUGGGAACCUGCCCUUUAGUUCGGAACAACAGAGGGAAACUUCUGCUAAUACCGGAUACGCCCUUCGGGGGAAAGGCUUCGGCCGCUAAAGGAUGGGCCCGCGUCCGAUUAGCUAGUUGGUGGGGUAACGGCCUACCAAGGCGACGAUCGGUAGCUGGUCUGAGAGGAUGAUCAGCCACACUGGGACUGAGACACGGCCCAGACUCCUACGGGAGGCAGCAGUGGGGAAUAUUGGACAAUGGGGGAAACCCUGAUCCAGCCAUGCCGCGUGGGUGAAGAAGGCCUUAGGGUUGUAAAGCCC